GACCGAAGUGUGAAAAAUAAUUAAUUAGUCAGCGCAACAAAGAUUGAUUUUCGAAUAUUUUUCGAAGUUGGUACGAGAUUCAAAAUUUUAAUUGGAUUUUAAUUUUUAAACUAUAAUUAAUAUACAUAUAUAGUUUUACGUGCCGCUUUUACGAGUAAAGAAAUUUCCUGAAGGUCAGAAAUAUGCAUUGGUAUUAUCUUCGGUUGAAUUGUUGAAUGUUGGAUAAAUCAAUAAUUCGAUAACUUUAAAACCGUGCUUUUAACCUUUCCGGCUGAUACGAUAUACAAUAUACAAUAUACCAAGCUCUAUUUGAUUUCACAACACGUGCGUACUCGUCGGAUCGUCGUUGUGAUCUUAUCACAUGGCCAGGAUAUAAACCCGUGCCGUUGGGCAAUAUAGUUCCCCACUUCACAUAUUUCCUUCAAUUUUUUAGCGGACGGAAAUUUAUUUGUGAGCACCGUUACAUGUGUGUUAUAUGUGUUACACAAAGCAGAUCUUGAUAUUAUAAGAUAGCUAUUUACAUGGAUUAUGACAAUCACAGAGAUCAAGUGGACAAAUUAGAAUGCUAUCAUACAAACUAGUAGCCUCUCUUGUAUAAAGUCAAACCAGAUAAAGUUCAGAUGAAAGCGAGAGCAAACCGGGAAAAGAACUCAAUUUGACACCUUAAUUAAAUAUAUAUUGUAUAUUGUAGCAAGUUUCUUCUUUUGCGCCCACCAAAUACUGUAGCAUAUUUUUUACGGUUAUUAACAUAAUCACCUCGAGCACAUGAUUUUUCAAAUAUUUUUAGCGCAAGCGGUAUGGAAACCCACUUAUGCUGAAACUUGUCUUGUAACAAAAAAAUGUUGCGUUAGAGAGCUCAAAUAUUCAUCCGAGCUUCGAUUAAAAUAACUUUCGUUUUUGGCCUAAUACAGAAUCCAACGAAAACGGCCUAUAUGAAUAAUAUAUGACGAUUAUAGUAUUGUCUCAUUAACAUAACCUAACCCUCACGACAUGUAUUGGAAAUGGACGUCAGCAUGUGCAACCGUGCCCAGCAGCCUACAUAUUUGCUAUGUAAAUACGUAGAAAAAAAACGAAAGCAGAAACAGACGCAGCGCUUGCCAUAGAUCGUCUUUGCAUCAGUUAAGAGAUCGCCAGACUGCGGAUACUGUGUGGUAGCAUUUGAGAAUCGAUCGCGACAGACAGACGGACACGAGCACUCAAACCUACUACACACUCUCGAACAUCGAAAGUUUUUUGGAAAGCGAAAUUGAUUAAAGCAAGUGGUGUGGGAAUACACAUGUGGAUGCAUGUGAAAUUUUGAAAUUUAUGGAACUUGGUUAAUAUCCAUAAAUAUGUGUAGUUCAUUAAUUCACAGCAUAAAUUACUUAAAAAUGCUAUGAACACAGAUUUAAAUAAAUUGAAAUUUUUCCCAAAAAGGUUACAUCUCCAAACUAACGAAAUAUGUAGGAGACCUUAAAGACGUUACUUGAGAAAGCUAUGAUCGGUUUGGCGCGUGCCUUUGAUACAACUCACUUUUGGUCGACUUUUUUUUUAACCAACCAGAGUAACUAGUCGGAAUAGUAAGGUAAGUAACUCCUUCG
Molecule: long non-coding RNA, 1580 nt
Organism: Zeugodacus cucurbitae (melon fly)
Lineage: Eukaryota; Metazoa; Arthropoda; Insecta; Diptera; Tephritidae
Exons: 4
Source: RefSeq, a predicted model, not a curated record